RNAcentral lists this transfer RNA (73 nucleotides) under Stegodyphus mimosarum. It matches the Rfam family "tRNA". From Rfam's summary of the family: Transfer RNA (tRNA) molecules are approximately 80 nucleotides in length. Their secondary structure includes four short double-helical elements and three loops (D, anti-codon, and T loops). The record is from Rfam by way of RNAcentral. Lineage: Eukaryota; Metazoa; Arthropoda; Arachnida; Araneae; Eresidae.
GUCUUUGUAGUGUAGUGGUCAGCACGCUCGACGCGUAUUCGAGAGGUCCGUGGUUCGAGUCCCGGCGAGGGCA